GCAUCGGUGGUUCAGAGGCGAGAAUGCUCGCCUGCCACGCGGGCUGCCCGGGUUCGAUUCCCGGCCGAUGCA
This 72-nucleotide transfer RNA is filed under the name Cordylochernes scorpioides. Its description in RNAcentral is "tRNA-Gly". It matches the Rfam family "tRNA". From Rfam's summary of the family: Transfer RNA (tRNA) molecules are approximately 80 nucleotides in length. Their secondary structure includes four short double-helical elements and three loops (D, anti-codon, and T loops). Further hydrogen bonds mediate the characteristic L-shaped molecular structure. tRNAs have two regions of fundamental functional importance: the anti-codon, which is responsible for specific mRNA codon recognition, and the 3' end, to which the tRNAs corresponding amino acid is attached (by aminoacyl-tRNA synthetases). tRNAs cope with the degeneracy of the genetic code in two manners: having more than one tRNA (with a specific anti-codon) for a particular amino acid; and 'wobble' base-pairing, i.e. permitting non-standard base-pairing at the 3rd anti-codon position. The record is from RNAcentral. Lineage: Eukaryota; Metazoa; Arthropoda; Arachnida; Pseudoscorpiones; Chernetidae.